AUUGAACGCUGGCGGCACGCCUAACACAUGCAAGUCGAGCGGUAGCAGGACAUGUAGCAAUACAUGUUGCUGACGAGCGGCGGACGGGUGAGGAACACGUAGGAACUUGCCCAGAAGAGGGGGAUAACCAAGGGAAACUUUGGCUAAUACCGCAUACACCCUGAGGGGGAAAGCUGCCGCAAGGUGGCGCUUUUGGAGAGGCCUGCGUCCGAUUGGCUAGUUGGUAGGGUAAGAGCCUACUAAGGCGAUGAUCGGUAACUGGUCUGAGAGGACGACCAGGCACACUGGGAUGGAGAAACGGCCCAGACUCCUACGGGAGGCAGCAGUGGGGAAUAUUGGACAAUGGGGGCAACCCUGAUCCAGCGAUGCCGCGUGGGUGAAGAAUGCCUUCGGGUUGGAAAGCCCUUUAGGUUGGGAAGAAGGUUAUGAGGGGACAAUCCUUGUAACUUGACGGUACCGACAGAAUAAGCACCGGCAAACUCUGUGCCAGCCGCCGCCGUAA
Molecule: ribosomal RNA, 502 nt
Filed under: uncultured bacterium
Lineage: Bacteria
Description: partial 16S ribosomal RNA
Rfam family: Bacterial small subunit ribosomal RNA
Source: RNAcentral